AGUCGAACGAGGCCUUCGGGUCUAGUGGCGCACGGGUGCGUAACGCGUGGGAAUCUGCCCUUGGGUUCGGAAUAACAUCGGGAAACUGAUGCUAAUACCGGAUGAUGACGUAAGUCCAAAGAUUUAUCGCCCAGGGAUGAGCCCGCGUAGGAUUAGCUAGUUGGUGGGGUAAAGGCCUACCAAGGCGACGAUCCUUAGCUGGUCUGAGAGGAUGAUCAGCCACACUGGGACUGAGACACGGCCCAGACUCCUACGGGAGGCAGCAGUAGGGAAUAUUGGACAAUGGGGGCAACCCUGAUCCAGCAAUGCCGCGUGAGUGAUGAAGGCCUUAGGGUUGUAAAGCUCUUUUACCCGGGAUGAUAAUGACAGUACCGGGAGAAUAAGCCCCGGCUAACUCCGUGCCAGCAGCCGCGGUAAUACGGAGGGGGCUAGCGUUGUUCGGAAUUACUGGGCGUAAAGCGCACGUAGGCGGCGAUUUAAGUCAGAGGUGAAAGCCCGGGGCUCAACCCCGGAACUGCCUUUGAGACUGGAUUGCUUGAACAUCGGAGAGGUGAGUGGAAUUCCGAGUGUAGAGGUG
This 577-nucleotide ribosomal RNA is filed under the name Sphingobium sp. RNAcentral describes it as "bacterial SSU rRNA". It matches the Rfam family "Bacterial small subunit ribosomal RNA", at positions 60 to 683 of the family's 1533-position model. Lineage: Bacteria; Pseudomonadati; Pseudomonadota; Alphaproteobacteria; Sphingomonadales; Sphingobiaceae. The record is from RNAcentral.